GUCGAACAGCCACAUUGGGACUGAGACACGGCCCAAACUCCUACGGGAGGCAGCAGUAAGGAAUUUUUGGCAAUGGAGGAAACUCUGACCGAGCGACGCCGCGUGAACAAUGAAGUACUUCGGUAUGUAAAGUUCUUUUAUUGAAAAAGAAAAAAUAGUGGAAAAACUAUCUUGACAUUAUUCAAUGAAUAAGCCCCGGCUAAUUAUGUGCCAGCAGCCGCGGUAAUACAUAAGGGGCGAGCGUUAUCCGGAAUUAUUGGGCGUAAAGGGUGCGUAGGCGGUUUGAUAAGUCUAUAGUUUAAAUGCAGUGCUUAACGCUGUAGCGCUAUAGAAACUGUCUGACUAGAGUUAGAUAGAGGCAAGCGGAAUUCCAUGUGUAGCGGUAAAAUGCGUAAAUAUAUGGAGGAACACCAGAGGCGUAGGCGGCUUGCUGGGUCUUAACUGACGCUGAGGCACGAAAGCGUGGGGAGCAAACAGGAUUAGAUACCCUGGUAGUCCACGCCGUAAACGAUGAGUACUAAGUGUCGGGUUUCGACUCGGUACUGAAGUUAACACAUUAAGUACUCCGCCUGAGUAGUACGUACGCAAGUAUGAAACUUAAAGGAAUUGACGGGACCCCGCACAAGCGGUGGAUCAUGUUGUUUAAUUCGAAGAUACACGAAAAACCUUACCAGGUCUUGACAUAAUUUUGCGACAUUAUAGAAAUAUAAUGAAGGUUAUCAGAAUUACRGGUGGUGCAUGGUUGUCGUCAGCUCGUGUCGUGAGAUGUUAGGUUAAGUCCUAAAACGAGCGCAACCCUUGUCGU
RNAcentral lists this ribosomal RNA (805 nucleotides) under Brazilian Huanglongbing disease-associated phytoplasma. Its description in RNAcentral is "bacterial SSU rRNA". It matches the Rfam family "Bacterial small subunit ribosomal RNA", at positions 299 to 1111 of the family's 1533-position model. Lineage: Bacteria; Bacillati; Mycoplasmatota; Mollicutes; Acholeplasmatales; Acholeplasmataceae. The record is from RNAcentral.